GAGGACGAAGACUUCAAUUACAGAUUCAAUUCUAUAAGUUUUAGGGGUAAAGAGGGGUGGAUUAUUGGGAAGCCCAACAUUUUGUUGUACACAUCGAAUGCCGGCGAUAGUUGGGAGAGGAUACCGUUGAGCGCCCAGCUCCCCGGUGAUAUGGUGUACAUUAAAGCGACCGGAGAUAAUGCUGCCGAGAUGGUUACAGAUGAAGGUGCAAUUUAUGUUACAUCAAAUCGGGGGUACAACUGGAGGGCUGCUGUUCAAGAGACCGUCUCAGCCACUCUGAACAGAACAGUUUCU
This 294-nucleotide unclassified non-coding RNA is filed under the name Hevea brasiliensis (rubber tree). The record is from RNAcentral. Lineage: Eukaryota; Viridiplantae; Streptophyta; Magnoliopsida; Malpighiales; Euphorbiaceae.